This is a long non-coding RNA of Manis pentadactyla (Chinese pangolin), 466 nucleotides long. RefSeq lists it as uncharacterized. The transcript has 3 exons. NCBI's taxonomy places the organism in Eukaryota, Metazoa, Chordata, Mammalia, Pholidota, Manidae. The record is from RefSeq and is a predicted model, not a curated record.
UGCAUUUUUCUCAUCCUUGGCCUUGAAAACAUAGGUUUUAUUGUCUGUGAAGAUUUCGAAAGCCCGAGGGAGAGAGCGGUCCCUGCGUUUCCUGGCCACAACCUUCACACUCUGUACUUUGCUGAGUUCUAUUGGGUCAUCUGGGUUGAACUGAAGAGUGCUUUCAGGACAAAACGGCCAGUACUGCUCUCUUAGUAGCCAUCCCGAUGGAAGAUUGAGUGAAAAAACUUCAGGAUUUUUUUAUGCUUCCAAGUCUUACAACUCUCCCCACGGAUAACAAAACCUCCCCUAGAACCAUUAAGUGGGUAAGUGUUACCAUCACCCCCCAGAUGGGGUCAACUGAAGAGAAAGAGGUAAAGACUGGUAAGGAUGGGCUUUGCCCCCUCUGUCAUCCCAGUAUGAGGUUGGACUUGAUUGCAUGUAGAAUUUCAAUAAGGAAACUUUCUUUGUAAUUAAUUAUGAAAAU